GACGAACGCUGGCGGCGUGCUUAACACAUGCAAGUCGAACGGAAAGGCCCUGCUUUUGUGGGGUGCUCGAGUGGCGAACGGGUGAGUAACACGUGAGUAACCUGCCCUUGACUUUGGGAUAACUUCAGGAAACUGGGGCUAAUACCGGAUAGGAGCUCCUGCUGCAUGGUGGGGGUUGGAAAGUUUCGGCGGUUGGGGAUGGACUCGCGGCUUAUCAGCUUGUUGGUGGGGUAGUGGCUUACCAAGGCUUUGACGGGUAGCCGGCCUGAGAGGGUGACCGGCCACUUUGGGACUGAGAUACGGCCCAGACCUCUGCGGGAGGGAGGAGGGGGGAAUAUUGCACAAGGGGGGGAAGCCUGAUGCAGCAACGCCGGGGGGGGGAUGGCGGCCUUGGGGUUGAAAACCGCUUUCGCCUGGGACGAAGGGUGAGGGGCGGUAAUGGGUAAAGAAGCACCGGCUAACUACGU
RNAcentral lists this ribosomal RNA (467 nucleotides) under uncultured bacterium. Its description in RNAcentral is "partial 16S ribosomal RNA". It matches the Rfam family "Bacterial small subunit ribosomal RNA", at positions 28 to 506 of the family's 1533-position model. The record is from RNAcentral.